This is a long non-coding RNA of Betta splendens (Siamese fighting fish), 1205 nucleotides long. RefSeq lists it as uncharacterized. The transcript is spliced from 3 exons. The record is from RefSeq and is a predicted model, not a curated record. Lineage: Eukaryota; Metazoa; Chordata; Actinopteri; Anabantiformes; Osphronemidae.
GGUUCCACCUGAGCUGACAGUGACUCCACUGGUGAUCACAGAGUCAGACUCAGUCACUGUGAACUGUCAGACUCCAUCAUCUGUUCCUGUCUAUCAGUGUUGGCUCUACUCAGUGAGGGAUCAAACCUACAGAGUCGUCUCUUGUCAUCAGACACUGACAGGAAGUGAGCUGAUGAAAAUGACUCAUCAAAGUUCACCUGCUGAGAUUGAAGUUACAUGUUAUUACAUUGUAGAGCAAAGAGGAACUAUAUCUGUGUCUCCACUCAGUAACUCUAUCAUCAUACAGAGUAAGUAGCUACUGGGAUAUGUUUUAUUACAGCUUAUUACAAUAUCAACUAAUAUCAAAUCUGAACCAUCACAUGCUUCAAGCUGCAGACAGAGUUAUAAAACCAAUGAUGAACCAGAUGCUGUUUUAGUGUUUUAGGUUUGUCAUAAAAUAUAUAAUUUUUAAUAUAUUAAACAGACAGUCAAACAUCAUCCAUCAAUGUACAGAGUGAGUAAAUGCAUGGGAAUGAAUCAUGUCUUACUUUAUCUGUCAUUAAAAAACGUUUUAAAUACGUUAAUUUAAGUCAGGUUUAACAGGUCUUCAUCUUAAUAGUCUUAUAUUAUAUGAUUUAUGACUUAAUAGUCAUUUUACAAUUAUAGUCUACAUCUGCAGAAAGUCUGCAAUGGACUGGCGACCCGUCCAGGGUGUACCCUGCCUCUCGCCCAUAGCCAGCUGGGUUAGGCUCCAGCACCCCCGUGACCCGCAUAUGGGAAUAAGCGGUUUAGAAGAUGGAUGGAUCUGCAGAAAGUCAAACAUUAUCCCUCACUACAAACUGACUCUCUAAAAUCACUCUGCAUCUUUAUGUGUCAAUACAUGGAAAGCCAAUCAGUUUAAUUUGUUCUUCAGUUUUUAAAAUAUCUUUACAGCAUGUGAUACAUUAAUUGAACCUCUGUUGCAUGUUAUGAGCUCACAGAUGAUUUGACCACAUUUUAUUACAGCUAAUGCAGAAACACAGAGUGUUCCAGCAGCUACUGUCACCACAGGUGAGACUGCUGGUCUUUCAACUGGUGCUUCUUCAGUAUCUGUGAAGUUGGCAUCAGUUUCUGAAGUGAGCAGCUCUACUUUGAUUAUUUCCAAUGAAUUUAUGAAUCAGACAGCAGGAGACAGUUUUCCAGGUGAGAAAUGUGUUUAAAAUUAAAAAAUGCAGAUAAAAGCUGCA